UGCUGGAACCUGCCGCUUUGCAGGCAGGAUGAACUUGUCUUGGCUCCGUUUCUUCUUUCUCCCCAUCUAGUUCCUCCCUUAGCUCGAGUGGCCAUCUCAGUUGAACCGUUCAUGUUGCGAGCUGCUGGCCGGCCGCAACAUUUUGGCACCUGAACAGGGACCUGAAGAAUGGCAGAGAGAUGCUAAGAGAAAGGCUGCUGGUAUGGAGCUCCACAGGAAAGGAUCUUUGUAUCGGGCACCGAGCAAUGGACAGGCGAAUCAGACUGAAGAGUACGGCAGUCAAUAAGGGUCACCCAGAGGAGUUUGUUCUACUCAGGUUUGCAGACAGUUCUUGGCUGGGACUCCCUUCAUUAUUCUUGUGGAAACAUAGCCCAGAGCG
This 379-nucleotide long non-coding RNA is filed under the name Mus musculus (house mouse). RNAcentral describes it as "novel transcript". Lineage: Eukaryota; Metazoa; Chordata; Mammalia; Rodentia; Muridae. The record is from RNAcentral.